AAAAAUAUCGUAUGUCAUUUUUAUAUAGUAACCCAAAAAAAGAAGAUUAGUAAAACAUAAAGCAUAUAUAAAAAUGUGAAUGCUUUUUUUUUUUUUUUUUUUUUUUUGGGUCACCAUAAAAAUGUGAAUGUCUAUUAUUAGAGAAAAAAUUCAUGUGGAUUAUUCAAUUAAAAUAAUUGGUCUUUAGUCAAAUUAUUUACUCAUUUUUGCUAAGUUUAUCGACUUGUAAG
RNAcentral lists this long non-coding RNA (230 nucleotides) under Capsella rubella. RNAcentral's name for it is "long non-coding RNA (CRUB_LNC002054)". The record is from RNAcentral. Lineage: Eukaryota; Viridiplantae; Streptophyta; Magnoliopsida; Brassicales; Brassicaceae.